Molecule: non-coding RNA, 33 nt
Filed under: unclassified sequences
Description: DUF805b RNA
Rfam family: DUF805b RNA
About the family: Bacteroidetes, Chlorobi (1 example), Proteobacteria. Lineage (Flavobacteria)
Source: RNAcentral
AGGGCGGUAUCCGAAAAGCCGAAAGAGUAGGAG